GAUGAACGCUGGCGGCGUGCUUAACACAUGCAAGUCGAACGGAAAGGCCCAAGCUUGCUUGGGUACUCGAGUGGCGAACGGGUGAGUAACACGUGGGUGAUCUGCCCUGCACUUCGGGAUAAGCCUGGGAAACUGGGUCUAAUACCGGAUAGGACCACAUUUUGGAUGGUGUGGUGGAAAGUUUUUCGGUGUGGGAUGAGCUCGCGGCCUAUCAGCUUGUUGGUGGGGUAAUGGCCUACCAAGGCGUCGACGGGUAGCCGGCCUGAGAGGGUGUACGGCCACAUUGGGACUGAGAUACGGCCCAGACUCCUACGGGAGGCAGCAGUGGGGAAUAUUGCACAAUGGGCGCAAGCCUGAUGCAGCGACGCCGCGUGGGGGAUGACGGCCUUCUGGUUGUAAACUCCUUUCGCUAGGGACGAAGCGCAAGUGACGGUACCUGGAGAAGAAGCACCGGCUAACUACGUG
Molecule: ribosomal RNA, 465 nt
Filed under: uncultured bacterium
Lineage: Bacteria
Description: partial 16S ribosomal RNA
Rfam family: Bacterial small subunit ribosomal RNA
Source: RNAcentral